AUUGAACGCUGGCGGCAGGCCUAACACAUGCAAGUCGAACGGUAACAGGAAACAGCUUGCUGUUUCGCUGACGAGUGGCGGACGGGUGAGUAAUGUCUGGGAAACUGCCUGAUGGAGGGGGAUAACUACUGGAAACGGUAGCUAAUACCGCAUAACGUCGCAAGACCAAAGAGGGGGACCCUCGGGCCUCUUGCCAUCGGAUGUGCCCAGAUGGGAUUAGCUUGUUGGUGGGGUAACGGCUCACCAAGGCGACGAUCCCUAGCUGGUCUGAGAGGAUGACCAGCCACACUGGAACUGAGACACGGUCCAGACUCCUACGGGAGGCAGCAGUGGGGAAUAUUGCACAAUGGGCGCAAGCCUGAUGCAGCCAUGCCGCGUGUAUGAAGAAGGCCUUCGGGUUGUAAAGUACUUUCAGCGGGGAGGAAGGGAGUAAAGUUAAUACCUUUGCUCAUUGACGUUACCCGCAGAAGAAGCUCCGGCUAACUCCGUG
This 490-nucleotide ribosomal RNA is filed under the name uncultured bacterium. RNAcentral describes it as "partial 16S ribosomal RNA". It matches the Rfam family "Bacterial small subunit ribosomal RNA", at positions 30 to 507 of the family's 1533-position model. The record is from RNAcentral.